GAGUUUGAUCCUGGCUCAGGAUGAACGCUGGCGGCGUGCCUAAUACAUGCAAGUCGAGCGAAUGGAUUAAGAGCUUGCUCUUAUGAAGUUAGCGGCGGACGGGUGAGUAACACGUGGGUAACCUGCCCAUAAGACUGGGAUAACUCCGGGAAACCGGGGCUAAUACCGGAUAACAUUUUGAACCGCAUGGUUCGAAAUUGAAAGGCGGCUUCGGCUGUCACUUAUGGAUGGACCCGCGUCGCAUUAGCUAGUUGGUGAGGUAACGGCUCACCAAGGCAACGAUGCGUAGCCGACCUGAGAGGGUGAUCGGCCACACUGGGACUGAGACACGGCCCAGACUCCUACGGGAGGCAGCAGUAGGGAAUCUUCCGCAAUGGACGAAAGUCUGACGGAGCAACGCCGCGUGAGUGAUGAAGGCUUUCGGGUCGUAAAACUCUGUUGUUAGGGAAGAACAAGUGCUAGUUGAAUAAGCUGGCACCUUGACGGUACCUAACCAGAAAGCCACGGCUAACUACGUGCCAGCAGCCGCGGUAAUACGUAGGUGGCAAGCGUUAUCCGGAAUUAUUGGGCGUAAAGCGCGCGCAGGUGGUUUCUUAAGUCUGAUGUGAAAGCCCACGGCUCAACCGUGGAGGGUCAUUGGAAACUGGGAGACUUUUGAGUGCAGAAGAGGAAAGUGGAAUUCCAUGUGUAGCGGUGAAAUGCGUAGAGAUAUGGAGGAACACCAGUGGCGAAGGCGACUUUCUGGUCUGUAACUGACACUGAGGCGCGAAAGCGUGGGGAGCAAACAGGAUUAGAUACCCUGGUAGUCCACGCCGUAAACGAUGAGUGCUAAGUGUUAGAGGGUUUCCGCCCUUUAGUGCUGAAGUUAACGCAUUAAGCACUCCGCCUGGGGAGUACGGGCCUCAGGGACUUAAGCUUCAAAGGACUUUGACGGCGGUUUCCGCCCAAUCGGUUCGGAGCAUGUGGCUUUCUACUUCCGUAUUACCGCGAAGGGACUGCCUUGACGUAGUGUCGAGCUCCUCUGGCUUUCCCUGGAGUUAGCGGCUUUCCUUCGGAGCAGAGUGCCAGCUUGUGUCAUUGGUUGUCGAAAUUCGGCUCGUGUCGUUUCAGAUCUUAGGUUAGUCCCCGCAACGAAUCGCACUACCCUUGCUCUUAGUUGCCAGUCAUUAAUUUGGUCCACUGCUGAAGGUUGACUGCUGGCUGACGAACUUGAGGAAUGCUGGGCUUGACGUCAAUCCAUCUGUGCAUGCCACCUCUACUGACCUCGGCUAUGCACACGUGCUACAAUGGGACAGGUACACACGAAGCUGCUAUACCGCCGAGGGUUACGGAGUCUAAAUCUCAUAAAACCUGCUUCUGUCCAUUCGCCGGAUUGUAGGCUGCCAACUCGCCGCUCACAUGAGAAUCUGGAAUCGCUCAGUAAAUCGUGAUCAGGCAUGCCCCCAGGUGACUACGUUCCCGGGGCUUGUAGCGGCACCGCCACGUACAACCCACGAGAGGUUUGUAACGACCCGAAGUCGGUGGGUUUAAGCCUUUUUGGAGCCAGCCGCCUAAGGUGGGAACAGAUCGAUUGGGCGGGUGAAGUCGUAACCAAGGGUCCCAGCCGUAAUCAGGAAGGCUGCGGCU
Molecule: ribosomal RNA, 1626 nt
Filed under: Bacillus anthracis (anthrax bacterium)
Lineage: Bacteria; Bacillati; Bacillota; Bacilli; Caryophanales; Bacillaceae
Description: bacterial SSU rRNA
Rfam family: Bacterial small subunit ribosomal RNA
Source: RNAcentral